RNAcentral lists this ribosomal RNA (253 nucleotides) under uncultured bacterium. RNAcentral describes it as "partial 16S ribosomal RNA". It matches the Rfam family "Bacterial small subunit ribosomal RNA", at positions 524 to 776 of the family's 1533-position model. The record is from RNAcentral.
UACGUAGGGGGCGAGCGUUGUCCGGAUUUAUUGGGCGUAAAGAGCGUGUAGGCGGCCAGGUAGGUCGGUUGUGAAAACUGGAGGCUUAACCUUCAGACGUCGACCGAAACCAUCUGGCUAGAGUCCGGAAGAGGAGAGUGGAAUUCCUGGUGUAGCGGUGAAAUGCGCAGAUAUCAGGAAGAACACCCCUGGCGAAGGCGGCUCUCUGGGACGGUACUGACGCUGAGGAGCGAAAGCAUGGGGAGCGAACAGG